ACGCUGGCGGCAGGCCUAACACAUGCAAGUCGAGCGGUAGAGAGAAGCUUGCUUCUCUUGAGAGCGGCGGACGGGUGAGUAAUGCCUAGGAAUCUGCCUGGUAGUGGGGGAUAACGCUCGGAAACGGACGCUAAUACCGCAUACGUCCUACGGGAGAAAGCAGGGGACCUUCGGGCCUUGCGCUAUCAGAUGAGCCUAGGUCGGAUUAGCUAGUUGGUGAGGUAAUGGCUCACCAAGGCGACGAUCCGUAACUGGUCUGAGAGGAUGAUCAGUCACACUGGAACUGAGACACGGUCCAGACUCCUACGGGAGGCAGCAGUGGGGAAUAUUGGACAAUGGGCGAAAGCCUGAUCCAGCCAUGCCGCGUGUGUGAAGAAGGUCUUCGGAUUGUAAAGCACUUUAAGUUGGGAGGAAGGGUUGUAGAUUAAUACUCUGCAAUUCUGACGUACCGACAGAAUAAGCACCGGCUAACUCUGUGCCAGCAGCCGCGGUAAUACAGAGGGUGCAAGCGUUAAUCGGAAUUACUGGGCGUAAAGCGCGCGUAGGUGGUUUGUUAAGUUGGAUGUGAAAUCCCCGGGCUCAACCUGGGAACUGCAUUCAAAACUGACUGACUAAAGUAUGGUAGAGGGUGGUGGAAUUUCCUGUGUAGCGGUGAAAUGCGUAGAUAUAGGAAGGAACACCAGUGGCGAAGGCGACCACCUGGACUAAUACUGACACUGAGGUGCGAAAGCGUGGGGAGCAAAC
This 744-nucleotide ribosomal RNA is filed under the name uncultured bacterium. RNAcentral's name for it is "bacterial SSU rRNA". It matches the Rfam family "Bacterial small subunit ribosomal RNA", at positions 33 to 773 of the family's 1533-position model. The record is from RNAcentral.